CCUACGGGUGGCAGCAGUCGAGAAUUAUUCACAAUGGGGGAAACCCUGAUCGUGCGACGCCGCGUGGGGGAAUGAAGCUCUUCGGAUUGUAAACUCCUGUCAUGUGGGAGCGAAGUAAAACGCUAGUACUGAAUGAGGAAUAGCCGGCUAACUCUGAGCCAGCAGUCGCGGUAAUACAGAGGACUCAAGCGUUGUCCGGAAUCACUGGGCGUAAAGGGUGCGUAGGCGGUUUCGUAAGUCGUGUGUGAAAGGCGCGGGCUCAACCCGCGGACGGCACAUGAGACUGGGUGACUUGAGUGAUGGAGGGGGAACCGGAAUGCUUGGUGUAGCAGUGAAAUGCGUAGAUAUCGAGAAGAACACUCGUGGCGAAGGCGGGUUCCUGGACAUUAACUGACGCUGAGGCACGAAGGCCAGGGGAGCGAAAGGGAUUAGAUACCCGUGUAGUC
Molecule: ribosomal RNA, 446 nt
Filed under: uncultured bacterium
Lineage: Bacteria
Description: partial 16S ribosomal RNA
Rfam family: Bacterial small subunit ribosomal RNA
Source: RNAcentral